GGCGGAGCCUGAUCCAGCCAUGCCGCGUGCAGGAAGACUGCCCUAUGGGUUGUAAACUGCUUUUGUACGGGAAGAAACACUCCUACGUGUAGGGGCUUGACGGUACCGUAAGAAUAAGCAUCGGCUAACUCCGUGCCAGCAGCCGCGGUAAU
Molecule: ribosomal RNA, 152 nt
Filed under: Jejuia sp.
Lineage: Bacteria; Pseudomonadati; Bacteroidota; Flavobacteriia; Flavobacteriales; Flavobacteriaceae
Description: partial 16S ribosomal RNA
Rfam family: Bacterial small subunit ribosomal RNA
Source: RNAcentral